RNAcentral lists this ribosomal RNA (376 nucleotides) under uncultured bacterium. RNAcentral describes it as "bacterial SSU rRNA". It matches the Rfam family "Bacterial small subunit ribosomal RNA", at positions 28 to 407 of the family's 1533-position model. The record is from RNAcentral.
GACGAACGCUGGCGGCGUGCUUAACACAUGCAAGUCGAGCGGUAAGGCCCUUUCGGGGGUACACGAGCGGCGAACGGGUGAGUAACACGUGGGUGACCUGCCCUCAGCUCUGGGAUAAGCCUGGGAAACUGGGUCUAAUACUGGAUAUGACUCCACGGUGCAUGUCGUGGGGUGGAAAGCCUUGUGCGGCUGAGGAUGGGCCCGCGGCCUAUCAGCUUGUUGGUGGGGGAUGGCCUACCAAGGCGACGACGGGUAGCCGGCCUGAGAGGGCGACCGGCCACACUGGACUGAGACACGGCCCAGACUCCUACGGGAGGCAGCAGUGGGGAAUCUUGCGCAAUGGGCGAAAGCCUGACGCAGCGACGCCGCGUGAGGG